CUGAUUUAUACGUCGAAACUAAGUCAAACUGAUCUGGAGCGCCUCACGGAAGGGGAUGGAAGUGAAGAAAUCAAAGAUCUUCAGCGUAUCAAUGGUCAGGUCAGAGAUCAUAAAGUGUUUGCCAUUACAGGAGAGAAACAGAUUCAGGUCACCCCUCACGAUCGGGCCAGUGUGUGCAAACAAGGCCAGGUGUCUUUCUACCUUGGCUUCAAUAUCAGAGGACCUGUUGCCUACAACAUCAGAUAUAAGUACUUUUUUGAAGAUUAUUAUGUGAAGAAUGCCAGUGAGAGAGUAAAACAAAACAAAACAAAAAACCCUAAAUGAUCUUCUUCUUCUUUGCUUUUUAUUAAUUUAAUUCUCUAUAAUGUGUUAUCCCUUAGAAUGAAUUAUGUAUGGCAAAUUAGAACCAUCAGGUAAAAUUAUUUUUGAUAUUGAUGUAACUUAAGCUUUAUUUCCCAGCAUGCUUUGCAUAGGAUUUUAAGGGGGAGAGAAACCUGUUCUGCAUCCGAUGCAUCCUCGAUAUCAAACACAUCCUGGUACUUUCAUGUGUCUUGUACUUGCAUUCUUCAGUACUGCAAUUGAAAUUCCACAGUGACUGAUGAAGAUUCGGCAGUUCACUCCAACUUGCCCAGGAAAUGCACACAAGUUGAGAGAAAUCAAGAAUAAUUAAACCUCAUGCUAUCAGUAUAACUGCACCACUACAUCUCUUUUGCUUGGCAACCAUUCUGCUGAACACAGCUGAAGAACUAGACAAUGCUUGGUGGAAGGAUUAUAAUUUGUUAUCAAUAAAUGAAUACAUUUUUGUUGCUUUGUGUUUACCUUACGAAACCUUGGCAGCUAAACCCAAUGAAGCCGUGGUUUACAGUGGUGUUUGAACAGAUAAGUAGGUUUUCCAUUAAAUUAGAUCAUAUUUGUCCUAAAUCAUUGUUCAUGUAUAUUCUGUCUUUGUGGGGCAGUUGUGGCUUAGAGUCAGAGUUGGGUCAUGGGUUUCUUUGAUUCUCACAUCACUUUCACCUUCAUGUUAGACUGGACAAUGUAGACAUUUGUCAUUAAGACAAACUUACAGGCCUGCACACUGUCCAGCCUAGGAUUGUGGCUUGUAAAUAGGCCUAUACUUCAUAUAGAUACAUA
Molecule: long non-coding RNA, 1131 nt
Organism: Labeo rohita (rohu)
Lineage: Eukaryota; Metazoa; Chordata; Actinopteri; Cypriniformes; Cyprinidae
Exons: 3
Source: RefSeq, a predicted model, not a curated record